ACAAAACCCGGAGGGAAGGUGGGGAUGACGUCAAGUCAUCAUGGCCCUUACGGCCUGGGCUACACACGUGCUACAAUGGUCGGUACAAAGGGUUGCCAAGCCGCGAGGUGGAGCUAAUCCCAUAAAACCGACCGUAGUCCGGAUCGCAGUCUGCAACUCGACUGCGUGAAGUCGGAAUCGCUAGUAAUCGUGAAUCAGAAUGUCACGGUGAAUACGUUCCCGGGCCUU
This 228-nucleotide ribosomal RNA is filed under the name uncultured Pseudomonas sp. RNAcentral's name for it is "partial 16S ribosomal RNA". It matches the Rfam family "Bacterial small subunit ribosomal RNA", at positions 1156 to 1382 of the family's 1533-position model. The record is from RNAcentral. Lineage: Bacteria; Pseudomonadati; Pseudomonadota; Gammaproteobacteria; Pseudomonadales; Pseudomonadaceae.